This 6026-nucleotide long non-coding RNA is filed under the name Mytilus galloprovincialis (Mediterranean mussel). Lineage: Eukaryota; Metazoa; Mollusca; Bivalvia; Mytilida; Mytilidae. The record is from RNAcentral.
AAAUUUAAAGAAUAGUUAGACAUGAGGAAUGUUGACCAUUUAAAAGUAAGCAUUUAAAUUUUCUGAAAUUUACUUAAGUUAUAUUAGUAAAUAUACUUAAAAUCUUUUAUAUUCAAGAAGAUACAUUUAACAACAUGCUAUUUAUAAUUACAAUGAAAUUAGUAUGCAAUAUUAGUGUAUUGUGAUUGGCUACCAAAAAGGACAACACUCCUUUUAUUCAUGGCUAAUAUAAUUAUAAAUUGUAUAGAAUUUUGUAAUUAGUUUUAUCAUUUUAUUAAAUCUGUAGAUUAUAACGACUCCUACUCUUGAGAAGCGUUUGUUUAUGAUUAUGUCAUCAAAUCACAUUAAAGUAUGAAGGCAGUUUAUACAAGUUUGUUAUCCAUUAUAAAUCCGGGAUCAAAGGUUGUCUAUUAAUAUUUGUAGAGCUACUAUUGAAUUAAGAAAUUACGUGAAUUAGGUUCAUCAAUUGUACUUAUCUACAUGUAUCUGUGCAAAGCAAAAAUAACAAAUUGCAUAAUGUACAGUCAAUUAUAGCAGUGUCCACCAAUAACUCAUAAAGGAAUAUGUAUGCACGUGUCCCAGAAAUAAUUUUUGCAAUCUUUUUGUGUCAAUUGAGUGACUAAAUAUUUUCAAGAUUCUACUUAGCUUUUAAUAAUUACAUUUGAUGUGUAUUAUAUUUGAGCGCAUUAUCAUUACAUUGGAAAUAAAUGCAUUACAAUUGUACGCAGCUUGAGGUACAUUUGUGAGCAUUCUUUGUAGGUAAAUACUUGUAAAUUAUACUUGUUUUCUUAUUUAACUCAUUCCAAUCAUAGUAUUACCUUAUGUUAGUCUUAGUCAUCUGUUUACCAACGAGGAGGUGAAAGUAGUUUUAUAUGUUUUGUCUUUUUACUAUUAUUUGUCGGUUUGUCUUUUUCUUUUUUAGCCUUGGCGUUGUCAGUUUGUUUUCGAUCUAUUAAUUUGAAUGUCCCUCUGGUAUCUUUCGGCCCGCUAUUACAGUUCUGUUGUGCUGAUUAACUACUAUCAUAAAUUGACGGAACGAUUGAGCGCUCAGAAAUAUGUGUAAACUCCUUAUAUAUAUAUAUAAUUACGUUCAUCUUUCGUGUGCCUUUCGCUUGAAACUGUAUUGCAGUGGUUGUUGUUUGUUGUUAUUUGCCAUAUUGUUUCUUCGUAUAUUGUUGCAUUAUAAUUAAGCCAUUUGUUUUGUCUUGAAAUGUCCUGUUUACAUAUAUUCAUCACAGAUCUUCUAAAGCUUACUAUACAGUAUGGUUGUUAAUAUCUGUACUUUAGACACCAAUUGAUAGCUGUCUCACUUGCAAUCAUACUAUGUCUCCUUAUCACUGCUUAUUUUUAUAUGCAUUUUAAUUGGUGCAAACCGCACAAUUCCAGGGAAGCAAUACAAUUAUAAGUAUACACACCAGAUUAAGGUCCAUUGUUCAAUGCCGUAUCUGACCUCUAUGCUGAUGUUAUAACGUUUGACCCACAUCUGUAUUUUCAUAAAGAUGAACUCAUAUCUAAAGUCGAGGGUAAAGUCAAUAUAACAUGGCCCAAACAACUCAAGACACACCGAGAAGAAUAAUCACAAACACUCCUUUCAAAAGAGUUCUUCAAUUAACUCAGCUUGCAAUCUUUACAAUGUGAAAAUAUCUUGUAAACCAACAACCAGUAGAAAACACGUAGACAAAUGCUCUAUAAGUAUUGAUCCGUAGAAUUCAAAACAAUCGAACCAAAUCUGUGUUUAAAAAAAGGCGGAAGGAACCAAAGGGACAUUAAAAACUCAUAAUUCGACAGGAAUCUUUGCAAAAAUCGUGAGACGACAAACAGACAGACAAUCCACUACUAAUAAUACGUCAAAAACUAAAAACUUAGCAACAAAAACCCUGUGUAAAAUGAUCGCGUAGGCAUAUCUUUGAAUAUUUUUAUUGUUUUUACUUUGUAGGUUGACAGACAUACGCAGCAAUGUAUUAUCAUUGUUUAUAUUGUCGAUAUGGUAAUUAAGUAAUUUCGGUUUUCAUUAUGUAGACAGACUAUAGCUAAUAUCAUUACUUGAAGUCUUGAAAUGGCAUUUCGCGGCAAUUUUCAAGUAUAGCAAUGGAUACCCUUUUGAAUGACUUUUAAAUCAAUUGUAAUUCAUUCGUAUCGUAUUCUAAUAAUGAAAUAAACGGUGUAAAUUAACUCUUAUUUGAAGGCUGUGUCCUGGUAUCAUAUCUUUUCGUAUUGACUUUUUUUAAAUAUUUCAACUUAAAUGCUGUUAAUUAGAAAUUCAAGAACUUUUUUUUCUGGUCGCUUUUCAUUAACCGAUCAAAGUGCUCGUUCUAAAACAUGUGUAUUAUUUUCUGAAAAGGUUCGUUACACAAUGUAUAUAUGCAAUUUGAUAUCUCGGUCAAAAAAAAAUUGUGUUUGUAGGAAUGGCUUGCAUUACCUUGCAAAAAUCGUCCAAAUGUUCCCGUCAAACAGACUGCUCUAGAAAGUGCAUUUCGAAUGACAUUUUUCUACCCGGAAGUGGAUUAUGAGAAUAUACUGAUAUCAAUCUUCAAAAUUAAGCCUCUAGUACUAAUACAAAAUGAUAAAUUCUGCCUGUAAUUACUUAUAUAUUUAAGAAUACACUGUCUAAAUACUUCAGUCUCGUAUUGAAGUUUUCACCGCGUUUGUCGAUAAAUGUUAUAGUAGUAGGUAUGUCACCUUAAUAAAUUACCUGUCUUCUACCUUUCUUAGUUACAAUAGUACCUUGUCUUAAUCCCAAUGCAUCCUUUACGAGACAUCAAAUUAUCUCGUGUCGGUUUUACAACUAUAUUUAACCUCAGGUCGAUCAGUAAGUAAACAUUGUAAAGCAAUGAAAUUGAUUUUCACAAAGUUCUAUUGCAUGCAUCAUGUGCAUAAAAAUCAAAUUCAAAUCCAAUAAUAAUUGUAUUAGUACACAUUCACCCCUUUGUUAAGCGGAAGCAUGAUAAAUUCCAUCGAAUAUUAUCAAAAACUUGUUUGAACUUUAAGAAACAUUCAUGAAAGAUUCAUUUCAGAUUUAGAAAUACACAUUUGAAUACCGCAUUGACGCUUCUGUUGAAAUUUUCUUUUUAAACAUGCUUAAAUGAGGCAAAUUCUUUCGAUCAGAUAUAAUCUGUUUUAAAUUAUAUGUUUAUUUCACAUUUGUAAUUCUUAAACAUUAAAGAAUUUAAAUUUAGGUUUUGUAGCUAUCGAAUCCCAAAUCACCUUGCAUGUCAAACAGCAGUUUUCCAGUUGUAUUUUGCUAAACCCUUUGUUAAAGUAAGGGGACGACCAUUUGAUAUUAUGGGGGCGGGGGGGACAGGAGGAUUUUGAAAAUAGAUAACUCAAGCCUUGAUAAUCACAAAAAUAAAUGGUUUGUUCUGUGGUAGUUUGAAAAUAAAUUUACCUGACUUGCAAUGUAUAGAAAAUAAAAACUCAGCAGGUCUAAUCGAAAGUAUAUGAGAUGGACCAGAUUUUCAUAAAUUCAUCUUUUUUCCCAAAAAAUGGGAAACUUCCAAUUUUUAAUAACAAAAGUAUAAAUAUUACUUAAAUAUAUGAAAUGUCUGAAAUUGGUUUCAUUUAACUUGAAGUAUUUGUCUCGGGAAACCUUACUCACCUUUAUUUUAACAGGGCCGUAACUCAUGUAGGUAAUUCAAAACCAAACGCUUGUCUCAUGUCAAAUUGUGUUCACGGCCUUGCAAGAAGAAAGUUCUGUUUUCCCUCAGACUUAUAGCCCUGAUUUUUCGGGAUCAAGUUUCUUAUUAUUUGUCUUUUGUUCAUUGUUGCUCUUCUGUAUUUGUUAGUGUUGCUUCUUUUUUUAAUCUAGUAAUUUUGUUAUGAACUUGAUCAUGAGUUAAAAAAAAACAGCAACCACAGGCUUAACUAUGUAAUUCCAUUUUUGCUUUAUCAUGCACAUUGUCUUUUGAUUUCCCUAGAAAUUCAGUCUUACACUGAAUUUAUACAUUUUGCUUUGAGACCAAUAUUGUCAAAAAAUUAUUAAAACAAAACUUCAUUUUCAGAUUAUGAAAGGGUCUUCCGAACACCCAGAAAGCAUGAUUUUAGCAUCAUUUGUUCUAUAGCUUCUUGGGCCUUUAGUGCUCCAAAACCUUCAAAAGAAAUUUGCCUCGCCCGCUCGGCAUAGUAGGUUUGCCAAAACAUUUAAAGUGCCUAGUUAUAACUAAACUUAAAUACUAUGUGUAUAGCGUUGGAAUUUAAAAGAUUCAUUUCUGUAGAGGGGGAUGGUUAAUCUAAUUAAAUGUUACAUAAUGACUUGACUAUACUAUAUGUAUUAUUUAUAAACAAACAUUAAAAAGAUGUAUGUUUUUCUCAAUAUCAAAAAUAUAGUUGUGAAAAUGAAUAAUCAGUCCCUUGCUUUAAUGAAAAUGAAAAUCUUGCUUCAAUAGUGCAGAAAUGAAUAUCUGUCCUCUUAGUUUGCAAAAAUAAAUAACGAUCAAAAACAAAUCCUCCUGCCCCCCCCCCCCAGAAUAUCAAAUGAUCGUCCCCUAACUCUACAUGUUAUUGCAUGCACGUAGGUACAAUGUAUCUAGAAAGUUACAGAAUCGAGAAAAUUAGAUAGUUUCUGAAAAUGAAUUCCGAACGGUAUGAUAGAGAACCUAAUAGUAUACAUUAAUAUUAAUGAAGAUAAUCGAUAGCUUUGAAUAGACUCAAAACUAAAGCUGUAAUAAGUGCUCACCUUAACAGUCAAUACAGUCUUCAGUGACGAUUAUAAGAUUUUUGUAUGACCAAUUUGUUUUCAUUCAUUUUGAGUCUAUUUUUGUUUGAUCAGCCUUAUUCAGGGAUAUAUUAAAUCAAUCCAAUGGCUUUAUGUUAAAUAUUGUGCAAAGUUUCUUUUGGGGUUCAAUUGUUAGUCACUAGAGGUACAUGACUGUUUAUGAACAGGCACACGGAAUGAAAAUGACAAUUUGUCUCCAAAAUGCCAAAAUUUCUGACGUACCAUUGAAACAAUACUUGAUAAUCUAACUCAAGUAGCAAGAGCAGCUACAUAAUCAUAUAUCAAGGCUUGGCUCUUGAACCAUUGCUUAUUUUUUUGUAUUGAUGUGGCAUAAGAACAUUCAAAUAAUCACAUAAUACUCAUAAAACAUGUGUGGAAACCAUUUAUAUAAAAGGAAAGACAGCAUUGAAUUUCGCUGUAAUGCAAUUCAUGAUACAAAACACUACACACACUUAACAAAAACAACCAUCCUUUUCCAAAAAUUCUUUAAUUCCACUUUCCGAGAAACGUUUCAGUAAAAAAAUCGAUUGCAUAAUCGUUAAGGUUUAGGUCUCAACACUAUGCCCAAUAUGUUUCUUUACUAUAAUUAAUUAAAGAUUGGAUUGUACAUUACUGAAUGAGAUAUCAAUAUUGCAUCGAGCCUAGUUAUCUUGUUUAAUGAAUCGUUAACUGUAUGUGUUUUGUGCUAUGUUAGGUCACAGUAGGUGACAGUAACAGUCAAUACAGUCUUCAGUGACGAUUAUUAGAUUUUUUAUGACCAAUUUGUUUUUCAUUCAUUUUGAGUCUAUUUUUGUUUGAUCAGCCACUCAAACAGGAAGUAUAAAAUUAUGAAUUGUUUUAAAUUAGUCAGACGGAAGAUUUCGGUCAGAUGUUUUUAAAAAAUGUGUUAAAACUUCUUUGAAUACUGUUAUUCAAAAUAUGCAUGGUCUAUUGCAGGUUGUAAAUGUAUGACAGGCGCAAAACAUAUUAACUGCAUGUCGGAAGUUGACGGUCGAUUGAUUAAUUUUAACUUAAUGUCCAGUGGCAAAUAUGUCAUGCAGGUAUAUUGGAUAGGGACAGAAGUUUUGCCUUCCAACAAGGACCAUUCAAAUAGUUGUUGCCAGGGUUUUAAGCGUGCAAAGAGCGAGCGACUUUGAUCUGUUUCUAAGAGUCAUCAAAUGCAGCGUUCCCAUUUUCUGACCAUAUUAAAUUGAAUUUUUUAAACAAAUAUAAAAUUUGUUUUUCAUAUUUUGUCUAAUAAAACAUGAAUAAUGAACUUAAUUUUUCCAUCCCUGGAUGUUUAAAGAUGAAACAACGUUUAAUGUAUGAACAAAGG